UACAGAGGUCUCAAGCGUUGUUCGGAUUCAUUGGGCGUAAAGGGUGCGUAGGCGGCGCGGUAAGUCGGGUGUGAAAUCUCGGAGCUUAACUCCGAAACUGCAUUCGAUACUGCCGUGCUCGAGGACUGGAGAGGAGACUGGAAUUCAUGGUGUAGCAGUGAAAUGCGUAGAUAUCAAGUGGAACACCAGUGGCGAAGGCGAGUCUCUGGACAUUUCCUGACGCUGAGGCACGAAAGCCAGGGGAGCAAACGGG
Molecule: ribosomal RNA, 253 nt
Filed under: uncultured bacterium
Lineage: Bacteria
Description: partial 16S ribosomal RNA
Rfam family: Bacterial small subunit ribosomal RNA
Source: RNAcentral